Molecule: ribosomal RNA, 398 nt
Filed under: uncultured bacterium
Lineage: Bacteria
Description: bacterial SSU rRNA
Rfam family: Bacterial small subunit ribosomal RNA
Source: RNAcentral
AUAUUGCACAAUGGGGGGAACCCUGAUGCAGCGACGCCGCGUGAGCGAAGAAGUAUUUCGGUAUGUAAAGCUCUAUCAGCAGGGAAGAAAAUGACGGUACCUGAGUAAGAAGCCCCGGCUAAAUACGUGCCAGCAGCCGCGGUAAUACGUAUGGGGCAAGCGUUAUCCGGAGUUACUGGGUGUAAAGGGAGCGUAGGCGGCCUGGCAAGUCUGAUGUGAAAUACCGGGGCCCAACCCCGGGGCUGCAUUGGAAACUGUCAGGCUGGAGUGUCGGAGAGGCAGGCGGAAUUCCUAGUGUAGCGGUGAAAUGCGUAGAUAUUAGGAGGAACACCAGUGGCGAAGGCGGCCUGCUGGACGAUGACUGACGCUGAGGCUCGAAAGCGUGGGGAGCAAACAGG